UGCCAUGUGAACACCUGAAGCCAUGUGGA
Molecule: non-coding RNA, 29 nt
Filed under: Homo sapiens (human)
Lineage: Eukaryota; Metazoa; Chordata; Mammalia; Primates; Hominidae
Source: RNAcentral